GAUAUAAGUAGAGUGGUUGCAAGAUCAGAUGAUCUUGAGGAAAGUCCGAACUCUCACGACGAUGUACCAUAAUACGAGAAUUUCGUAUACAUUCAUUUGGGAGGAAAGUGCCACAGAAAUUAAACUUGCUUUAAUAUUUUUAAAGUGGAGGUGUAAUAUUUCAACAUUUGUAAGAAUGUUUGUUGGUAGACCCUUAUGGAGAGCAAAAGAAUAUAAAUCUCAAUGACAUCUCUUGGGAUUAAAAUCUUGCUAGAAAAUUUCAAUAAUGAAAUUUCCAGAUAAAUAACCACAAAACAGAAUUCGGCUUAUCUAUUUAUAUCGUUU
Molecule: non-coding RNA, 324 nt
Organism: Micromonas sp.
Lineage: Eukaryota; Viridiplantae; Chlorophyta; Mamiellophyceae; Mamiellales; Mamiellaceae
Rfam family: Bacterial RNase P class A
About the family: Ribonuclease P (RNase P) is a ubiquitous endoribonuclease, found in archaea, bacteria and eukarya as well as chloroplasts and mitochondria. Its best characterised activity is the generation of mature 5'-ends of tRNAs by cleaving the 5'-leader elements of precursor-tRNAs.
Source: Rfam